RNAcentral lists this ribosomal RNA (425 nucleotides) under uncultured bacterium. RNAcentral's name for it is "partial 16S ribosomal RNA". It matches the Rfam family "Bacterial small subunit ribosomal RNA", at positions 354 to 796 of the family's 1533-position model. The record is from RNAcentral.
GUGGGGAAUCUUGCGCAAUGGGCGAAAGCCUGACGCAGCCAUGCCGCGUGAAUGAUGAAGGUCUUAGGAUUGUAAAAUUCUUUCACCGGGGACGAUAAUGACGGUACCCGGAGAAGAAGCUCCGGCUAACUUCGUGCCAGCAGCCGCGGUAAUACGAAGGGGGCUAGCGUUGCUCGGAAUUGCUGGGCGUAAAGGGCGCGUAGGCGGACAGCUUAGUCAGAGGUGAAAGCCCAGGGCUCAACCUUGGAAUUGCCUUUGAUACUGGCUGUCUUGAGUUUGGGAGAGGUGAGUGGAACUCCGAGUGUAGAGGUGAAAUUCGUAGAUAUUCGGAAGAACACCAGUGGCGAAGGCGACUCACUGGCCCAAUACUGACGCUGAGGCGCGAAAGCGUGGGGAGCAAACAGGAUUAGAAACCCUUGUAGUCC